GCGGAUGUGGCGGAAUGGUAGACGCACUGGUUUUAGGUACCAGCGGAGCAAUCUGUGGGAGUUCGAGUCUCUUCAUCCGCACCA
This 84-nucleotide transfer RNA is filed under the name Alphaproteobacteria bacterium. Its description in RNAcentral is "tRNA-Leu". It matches the Rfam family "tRNA". From Rfam's summary of the family: Transfer RNA (tRNA) molecules are approximately 80 nucleotides in length. Their secondary structure includes four short double-helical elements and three loops (D, anti-codon, and T loops). Further hydrogen bonds mediate the characteristic L-shaped molecular structure. tRNAs have two regions of fundamental functional importance: the anti-codon, which is responsible for specific mRNA codon recognition, and the 3' end, to which the tRNAs corresponding amino acid is attached (by aminoacyl-tRNA synthetases). tRNAs cope with the degeneracy of the genetic code in two manners: having more than one tRNA (with a specific anti-codon) for a particular amino acid; and 'wobble' base-pairing, i.e. permitting non-standard base-pairing at the 3rd anti-codon position. RNAcentral also lists the same sequence under 2 other names. The record is from RNAcentral. Lineage: Bacteria; Pseudomonadati; Pseudomonadota; Alphaproteobacteria.